Unclassified non-coding RNA from Erinaceus europaeus (western European hedgehog), 324 nucleotides. Its record names the gene 7SK. It matches the Rfam family "7SK RNA". From Rfam's summary of the family: 7SK was discovered as an abundant small nuclear RNA in the mid-70s but a possible function has only recently been suggested. The record is from Ensembl. NCBI's taxonomy places the organism in Eukaryota, Metazoa, Chordata, Mammalia, Eulipotyphla, Erinaceidae.
GUAUGUGAGGGUGAUCUGGCUGUGAUACCUGUCACCCCAUUGAUCGCCGGGGAUCAUUCGGCUGAUAUGGCUGGUCAGGCGGGUGUCCCCUUCCUCCCUCACCGCUCCAUGUGUGUCCCUCCCGAACCUGCACACUCGGUCGAAGAGGACGGCCUUCCCUGAAUAGAGACGGACUGGUCUUCGGUCAAGGGUGUACACCAGUAUCUGAGCUCCCCUGCCAGAACCUCCAAACAAGCUCUCAAGGUCCAAAAUUUAAGUUCCUUGUGGUUAUACUGGGUUGUCAGAAAAACCAUGAUUUACUUUCCUAUGCAAAAAAUGUUUUGG